RNAcentral lists this ribosomal RNA (490 nucleotides) under uncultured bacterium. RNAcentral describes it as "partial 16S ribosomal RNA". It matches the Rfam family "Bacterial small subunit ribosomal RNA", at positions 34 to 506 of the family's 1533-position model. The record is from RNAcentral.
CGCUGGCGGCGUGCCUAAUACAUGCAAGUCGAGCGAACAGACGAGGAGCUUGCUCCUCUGACGUUAGCGGCGGACGGGUGAGUAACACGUGGAUAACCUACCUAUAAGACUGGGAUAACUUCGGGAAACCGGAGCUAAUACCGGAUAAUAUAUUGAACCGCAUGGUUCAAUAGUGAAAGACGGUUUUGCUGUCACUUAUAGAUGGAUCCGCGCCGCAUUAGCUAGUUGGUAAGGUAACGGCUUACCAAGGCAACGAUGCGUAGCCGACCUGAGAGGGUGAUCGGCCACACUGGAACUGAGACACGGUCCAGACUCCUACGGGAGGCAGCAGUAGGGAAUCUUCCGCAAUGGGCGAAAGCCUGACGGAGCAACGCCGCGUGAGUGAUGAAGGUCUUCGGAUCGUAAAACUCUGUUAUUAGGGAAGAACAAAUGUGUAAGUAACUAUGCACGUCUUGACGGUACCUAAUCAGAAAGCCACGGCUAACUACGU